Long non-coding RNA from Cervus hanglu yarkandensis (Yarkand deer), 1596 nucleotides. The record is from Ensembl. Lineage: Eukaryota; Metazoa; Chordata; Mammalia; Artiodactyla; Cervidae.
CGCAGCCCCGCGGCGCGCAGAGUGGCGCAGGCGGCGGCAUUGGGCCGGGUUUAAGGUAGCGCCGCGCCGCCCGCGCUCCCCGCGGUCCUAGCGCCCGCCGCGCUGCGGCAGGCCCUGCGCCUCGCGCCCGAGCGCGGGGACCCGGGGGCGCCCGGAGCCCCCGGUCUCACAAAGGAAGCGCGAGGCCGCGGCCCCCUGGGCCUCUGCGGCCGUGUCACUCACGCGGAGUCGCAGCCGCGAAGUGAACCCCUCGUUCGAUGCGGCGGCGGAGGUGCAGACUGAAUCGGGAGAACUAGUUUUCCCACUUGGGGCUUGGGGGCUGCUUUGAGUUACGAAAUAAAACUUAGCUAAGAGUUGGAGUGAAGGGGGCUGAUUUAAUAAGCUUGAACGGACCCCACAGUUCCGCUCUCAUCUCUCCUGCAGACAGUAGCAAGCGACGCGGCAGGUGGGACUGGGGAGGCGGGGGCGGGGGGCUAUGCGCCCAGCCCCCUUCCACGCGCGCACACCGGCCGCAGUGACCGCUCCUGGCCGGGUUCGGGGCUCUCCCGGCGUUCUCUAGAGCCGGCGCUGCGUUUAGGUCCCGCCCCGCGGCGCGGCCGGCUUGGGUGGGGGGGCGCCGGAGCACCGCCUCGCUCCCCGAGCUCGCCUGCGUCUGCAGAGAGUCCGGGUGCAGGAGCGCGCGCCGGGGACUUCCCCUACCCUGGAACCCUGGACCGCGCUCCGAGGGGCGAGCUGGGCCCGCCCUCAUGGGAUGAGAAAGCCAAGGACCCCGGGUCCCUCGCGGCCCCGAAGCCGCCGCCGAGCUGAGGGAGCCCGAACAAGAUGCAAAGGGAUGUUCCCCACAAUUCGAAACUCCUGGAUCUACAGAAGAUCAAGUGAAAAAAGCAAAACAAGACAACAUAGCAAGGUAGAAAGAGGACAGUCUUCAGAACCCUGCUACCUGGCAGGCUGGACAAGUUCAUGAAUAAUCCUGAGACCAGUUUCCUCAUCAGAUGGUAUUUGCCACAUACUUGUUUUGAGAAUAAAAACAGAGAGACCAUGGAAAAUGCCUGGUGCCUAAAAGAGACUCAGUAAAAGUUAUUAAUGAGCAUAAAUUAAUGUUAUGUACACAGUAAAGCUAUUUUCAACAAAGGAACAAUAAAGAGGAAAUGAUAUGUAUGAAGACUAUUCAUAACAAAGGGAAAAGCAACAAAACAAGAAACCUUUUAAGACAGUAUGACCCCCACCACACAGACGCACGUUUGCCUGGGGCGGGAGGGCAGGAGGGAACCCUGGUGGACCUGCGGGAUGCCUGGCCCUGCUGGUCACAACCAUGAACUCUCCGUGUAUUUGUGCUCUAGUUCACAGACUUUCAAUGGUGGGCUGAAUGUUACUUACAUAAUGAAAAACACUGUUUUUGAAUUUUGAAAGCUAAACGAUGCCCUUUUCCAUAAAAAUCACCUCCUUCCUAGCAGAGACAUUCAAAAUAUUGUUUUCUAUACUCCAGAGCUGUUUGCAUAAUUGCUCAUAAUAAUUUCAUUCAGUUCAUCAUUUAUUGAGCGCCCGUGUGCCAGGGUCCAGGAGGAAACAAAAUAAAUGAGAUAGGGUCCUGUCCUC